This is a long non-coding RNA of Bos taurus (domestic cattle), 579 nucleotides long. The record is from Ensembl. Lineage: Eukaryota; Metazoa; Chordata; Mammalia; Artiodactyla; Bovidae.
AUGUCAUCUGCUGUGCUGGGAAUGAUAGCACCCUUUUCCUCUGACCUGAGAGUCUUGUGUCUUCUGCCAGCAUCCAUGGAAGAGAGGCAAGCUGGCUGAUGUGCAGCAUGUGGGAUCUUAGUUCCCCAACCAGGGAUCAAACCUGUGCCCGUUGCCUUCCAAGCACAGAGUCUUAACCACUGGACCACCAGGGAAGUCCCUGUUUUACCUUCUGAUCAAACAUCUUCUAUGAGGAAGCCCUGGAGAUACAAAGGUCUUCUCUUUCUAUUUUGAAGUGAGACCUCUGGACUGAAGCACCAAGUGCACGGACUAAAGAUCAGGGAAGCAGAGUCCAGGAUCAAGGAGUCCACUGAGGAGCAGGACAGGAGAGAUCCCGGGUCAGCAAGCGUCCAAACGUACAUUCCAUACCUGCUCUGGGCCAGGCCUUGUGCAUCCUCUGGGAUCCAAGGGAAACUAUGACCUCAGCCCCGUCAUAAGUAGUUGCAUCCUGAAUAUCCACCUUUCAAUCGGUUAAAGAAAUAUUGGACAGAGGAGACUGGUCUCAGAAGUCUUGCUCUGCCUAGACAAGGAGUAUGAUAA